RNAcentral lists this long non-coding RNA (307 nucleotides) under Brassica napus (rape). Its description in RNAcentral is "long non-coding RNA (BNAP_LNC021907)". Lineage: Eukaryota; Viridiplantae; Streptophyta; Magnoliopsida; Brassicales; Brassicaceae. The record is from RNAcentral.
CAAUUGACACCCACCAACCUAGCUCUGAUACCACUUUGUUGAAACCACAAUGGCAAGAACAGGUUGACCUUAAACCAGAAUCAAACACACAAACUCGUGACACACUCUCUGACACACUUGCCGAUGUAAGUUAGAAAGUAUGUGUUUGCAGAAUAAUGGAGAACAUAAGAAGAACGCGGAAAAGAUAGAAGAUUUGGACACAAGAAAUUGUUUACCCAGAGUUCAUCUAAAAUGGCUACGUCUCUAGGGCCUGGUAAAGAGGCAAUUCACUAUAAUUUUAAGAACAAAGAUAUAUAACCUCUCUCUC